AAGGUUAGUAAUCUCGUUCAUUUGGUUCGGUUUCUAGGAUUGGUUAUUGUAGUAUGGAAUGUUUCAUUUUUUAUUGUUGUUUAAGUCUCUUAUUUAAAUGGGCAAUGAAACAUGACUUGUCGUAUUUUGGUUAGAAAUCAGUUUGCAAUAGGUUUAAAGAGGUUCUUAGGUUAGAAAAUUAACUGCGAACUCGAUUAGUUGAACAUGUGAUUGAUAUUUAAAGUUUCGCUUCAGUUUUGUGUUAGAAUUCUCCUUAGUUUCUGUCCAAAAUCGUUGUUUCUUAUUGUGAUAUAUCCCAAAAAAAUAAAAUUUCUUUUACCAUAGCGACUAAAUGA
RNAcentral lists this long non-coding RNA (335 nucleotides) under Solanum tuberosum (potato). Its description in RNAcentral is "long non-coding RNA (STUB_LNC008127)". The record is from RNAcentral. Lineage: Eukaryota; Viridiplantae; Streptophyta; Magnoliopsida; Solanales; Solanaceae.